GACCUCCGCCCUCAGCAAUGCAGGAAGCUGACUAUUAAGGGCAAACAAAAGUGUUAUUAAGACCCCUGCUGUCGCUGUGGAUUGUGCCCUCAUCCUGCGCCCUGGGGCUGCCUCCCAUGGACCUCCCCUUGGUGGGGACUGGUAGGGGAAGCCGUUGGAGGCCUUGGCUGUGAGGACCCCUAAGU
Molecule: non-coding RNA, 185 nt
Organism: Otolemur garnettii (small-eared galago)
Lineage: Eukaryota; Metazoa; Chordata; Mammalia; Primates; Galagidae
Source: Rfam